CCUACGGGAGGCAGCAGUAGGGAAUCUUCCACAAUGGACGCAAGUCUGAUGGAGCAACGCCGCGUGAGUGAAGAAGGGUUUCGGAUCGUAAAGCUCUGUUGUUGGUGAAGAAGGAUAGAGGCAGUAACUGGUCUUUAUUUGACGGUAAUCAACCAGAAAGUCACGGCUAACUACGUGCCAGCAGCCGCGGUAAUA
This 195-nucleotide ribosomal RNA is filed under the name uncultured bacterium. RNAcentral describes it as "partial 16S ribosomal RNA". It matches the Rfam family "Bacterial small subunit ribosomal RNA", at positions 338 to 525 of the family's 1533-position model. The record is from RNAcentral.